GCAGCCCGGCGGACGCGAACGGAAAAGGGAGUUCCGAAAUGCUACGGCGAGAGCAGGCAGCGCGCUCCCCGUGCCGCCGCCACCGCAUCCAGAGACCGCGAACGAAUCAUCUCCGGCGGAUGAGGACGACUCCACUAAUACAGAAACGGGGAUGGACUGGCUGAGUGAGGAUCGGUCACGUUGCGCAAUACGUGCCGUGCGGGAGCGCAGGAGCCGCAGCCAGCCGACGACGUCAAGGGGCGCGUGUGACUCGGCGCAUCUCAUCUGUAUUGGAGACAGUGAGCAUCGCCGGGCAAACAUGUGAAUGUGAUGCUCCUGCAGGGAGAGAGCUGGCAAAAAGCAGAGCAGAAGAAAACAUGGCACGCUAGCAACAUUUUGUUCUGGGGGGAAAAAAAAUCAAAAAGAUAAAAUAAAAUUCUGAACACCUGAGACCAAAGAGUAUGUUCCAGCAGCCUGCUGUGUCCCAGAAUGCGAGAUCAGAUGUAAGCAGCGACAUUUAUCAUGAUGAAGGUUUGGGAAAUUUCAGAAACACAUAUCUGACACUGUCUGUCUCAGCCUUUCCCAGGUGGAGAAUCCAAGUUGGAGAAAUGCCAGUCCGUGUAAUCCAUGUGUGUCCCCGUCUCAAGACAGAUUCCCUCAGUAUCUCAAGGCACACUCUAUGAUGUGUAGCUGAGAUGCAGAUCCCACAUGGAGCCAUCAGACUGGAGCAGGACAGACCAUCGUAGUUGGGAGGGGGUGUAAAAAUAUGGUUCUUCUUUUAAUAAUCCCCCAAGUAACAACCAUCCCCAUUACAUGACUUCUUAGCCAAUACUGUACAAGUGGUGAUUGGUCGAGUUGGCUAAGGGUCUGCGUCUGUGAGUGGAAGGUUGCUGGCUCAGGUCCCAGUCUCGGUGGGACAGUUGCGUGUCUGCGAGCCCUUGAGGAAGGCCCUUAACUACAAGCCCCAGGGGUGCUGAACACUGGCUGCCCCUCUGCUGUGACCCCCGAGAUUGCUCUCAACUGCAUAUGUGGCUCAUGGACAGCAAGACAGGGUAAAACAAAAAAUAAACCCUAUGAAAGUGAAGGCACCUCAUCUGUAGACAUACAGUACAUGCAUGCACUGUUUUGUAAAAGUAUGUAACUGUCUAAGUUUGGAAGUUUGGAAAAAGUUCAAUAGAACCAGUAGAAAUUGACUUCCCCAGACAAUAAUUACUAAGCAAUGCUGUGCUGUAUUUAUUUUCUCUCACAUUGAAGCUUGUGAGGAUUUGAAAUUAUUUUAAUGAGCAUCCCCAGUGAAGUGCUUCCUUCACUGUAUAUUGCUGUCUGCAUAAUGUACUCUACAUAGUUACAGUGUUGUUCAUUCUGCUGCUGAUGUGGAAAAUGAUUUGCUGGCCUUACAGGGAAAAACUAAUCACUGAAGUGAACUCUUUGACCUUUGAUCAGUUUUAGUUCAACUCAGUGUGCUUGAGUACUUUCCCCAAAUACAAAGACAAAAAGUGGAAUCAGGAAACCUCAAAUCUGCAACCUGCCAACCCAUGAAGACACAUCAGAUAGAGAACAGAUGCACUAGGUAGCCGAUUGCUGCUAUGAAGAAGGAUAAAAUUCAAAGUCUAAAGAUAGAUACAGACGUUUCAGUCUUAGAGUAUGCAAUGUUUAAUGGGAAAGAUUAUUUAGGAACUGAACGUUUUUAAUGUCGCAUUUAGAGUAAACAGAAGCUUGUGCACAUCUCGCUUUCAUUAAAUGAGCUAAGAGUGUUUGAGGAAAUAUAAUUUACAUUUAUUAAUUGGACGAGUGCUUUACUUGAAAGAGGCCAACAGGUCAGUGUAAACAAUAAGUGCAGCUAGAUGACAGAUCAUCUCACAAAUGCCCUUUAUGGGCGCUCUCUCACCGCUAAGUCCUGAUGCCUUUUUAGCAGCUCGCCGAUGCUGACGUGGGAUGGCCGCGAGCCUGCAGGUUAAUGACAGCCACGUACUGACCAGCUUCCCAUCCAUCUGGAGUCAUCAUGGUGCUCAGCCGUUUCCUGCUGCCCUGCCUUCUCUGCAGCCUGGAUCAGAGGGAUCAGGCCUGACUACGAAAGGUCGGGCUAUCUGAGGAAAUCGGCAGACCUCACGAAAAACCGGCCUCCUGCCAUCAGCCCCCCCCCCGCACACCACCUUGUUCGGCAGCUGUAAGUCAGCACCUUUCCGGACAGCGCCGUGCUGAAAGAGGUCUCCGUCCCUUUAAUGCCAUUCACCUUUAUCCCUUGGGUUGUGUCUUGGCUGCUAUUCGCCUGCUAUUCUUAGGUUCAUUUCAUACUGCUGGAUAUGGAUUGGUGCCCCGAGGGCACAGGGAACACUUGCUUCUGUCAUGUAGCCUUGCAAUCCUCGGGGUAUUUCCAAUCCUUCUGGGACAGACAUGGAAGGUGGGGAAAUUCGUUUGUGAUUGGUCAGAUUCUGCACCUAUUCUUAACUCUUCUGCAAUAGUUAACAAAAUUUAUAGUAUAAUUGAAAAGUUUACUGUUUUUUUCUACUGAUAAACUUUCAUAUUGUUAGGAUAUUGCUUUUUGUAGUUUUUUUCCUUUAAAGGAAGUUAUGUGAGAAUAAAUUGAAUUUAAUUGAUAUUGCAUUGAAGAGCAAACAAUCCAAAAGCAGAACAAGGUGCGUUUAAUGAUACAAUCCAUCCAGGAAGCAGCAGAAAUGGAGCUGAAAUCCAAAUUCAGAGAUGAGAACAGAAAGUGGUCAGAGGACAGACAAGGGAAGCAUGUUCCUACAAAAUGAGGAAUCAGAAUCUGUUAAACAGAAAGAGGUCAGACAACAGGCAGAGCAGCAAAGCCAGACGGAACAAAAUAUAUCAAAUAUUGAAAGAAAUAUUUAGCAUAAGCAUAUGCAUAAGCCUCGGCUUAUUAAAAGAACUAGUCAACAAGUCUCCCAUUACCAGUUCUGUUCUAUGAAAAAAAUCAUUUUGCUUCCAUUUUAAAAUGUGAUCAUGAGGUGUGACGUCACAUCCAGUCUGGAAUCCAGUUCACUGGCCACCUGCCCCUGACGCGGUCACCCCCCCGUCCCCCUCCCGGCAGACAUUGUGCCACUGUGUGGCUGGUCUGAAAUCCCUGAAGUCAGACUGACUCCAUAUUGUGUUUGUGGGCAGCACUUACAUCAGUUAUUCUUUUAUUAUUAUAUAUAAGCGCAAGGAGAGACCAGCAUGCCUACAAUACUUCCUGCCACACAGAUGGACAUUGAGACAUUGAUUUUCAAUAUAAUAGUGUUAUUUUUGCAAUUAAAUUUUUUCUAUUUUGCUCUUGCUGUGGGGGAAACUGGACAUUUGGACUGAUUGUAGGGAUUUCUGAAAAUUUCUUCCUGGAUUUCUUCAUAUUUGCUCCAUAUGAAGCAGAAUUUGUUCCAGAUGGGAUUCCCACGUUUUUUAACAUUGUGUUGUUUUCUUGCUACUGUAAGUGUGAUAGGACAUCGGUCAUAUACAAAGAACUGAAUGGUGUGAUGUCAGCUGGGUGGCAGCCAAUUGGGUGAUUUCUAAGAAUCCAUAAUAUUCAGCAAUGGGACUACCAAUUAGACACUGCAAGCUGAGGUGCUGUUUUAAAAUACGUUUUAAUACAUAUCAUCACCAUCAUUAUUAUUAAUUACAGUAGCAACAACAACAAAAACAACAAUAAUAAUAAUGAUUUACCAUCUGUUUUGGCCUAAGUUGCCUUUUUAAUUUCAAUAAGAAUUUGAAUCACCGGACUCACAGCUCUUUGUGUAUCUUCCUAUCAUUGGUUUUAGCGCUGGGAUCCCAUUGGGGCUUCACAGUAGUAUAACUAUUUCAGACAGAAUAAUUAUACAGAAUAAAUGUAUAUUUAUUUUAUACUCAGAGCAGCAUUAAUGCCACCCAAAUUAUAUGAGAAUCAGACUUGCUGCAGUAUAACAGAUUUUAGAAUAUAUUUUGAAAAUGAACACUGCAACAUUUUUUUUUCUUCACCAAAUACUGAAUUCUGCCGGCCCAACUCUUUUGCAGAGUCACGUCCAAAAAGUUUAUAACUCAUAAAAGCGGCAGGUCAUUUUUGGAUGCUGUGAACUCUAUGGCAGUCAAUAUAGUUUAGGAAGAGAUAUGAAUCUGAUUAUGCAGACAUGUUCCAGUACUGUGCAAUCAUUGCUCAUUUUUUGGCUAAAGUAAAACCAGGAAAAAAGGUCAGACCUUGAUCUUUUCUUUGACUUAGCCCAGCCGCUCCUGUUCUAAAGCUUUUGGAUUUACAAUGUAAAUGGAGACCUUUUGAAUCUAUGGAAUUCUGGGUCAGAACAAGUUUUUAUUUUGGCUCGGCAGAAAUGUCCCAUCCACCUCCGGGGUCCGUGUGCUGGACUCUGGCUUGGUUCCUCCAUGCACCUCCCUGGUACCACAUUAGUAUGCUAAAUGAGUUUAGCAGAAUCAAGUUUACCUCCAUUUAAAGAUGUGUGUUCAGGGUGAGUAUAGGGGUUGUUCUUAUCAGAGCUGAGUAAAUUAAGGUUAGGAAUACUAUAAACAUGGUCAGAGAAAAGUACACAAUGGCCAUGGCAAGUUUCAGAUUCCAAAUCAUAAAAAGGAUGACAUCAGUGAUAUUUCAAUCAGAAAGGGUGUUAUCCUUUUGUAUAGAAUGGUGAAAUAGUUAUAAAUGUAUAGGCCCUUUGAGAUUAUACUCAAAUUCAUACUUUUUCAUUCCUCUUAGGGUCACAAUGAAGUGAAACAUUGUAAACCAAAAAUUUAAAUAUGCAUUGUGGGAUUUGUUUACUUGCUGCAAAUCCCUUCACAACAUAACACCAAAUAAUACCAAAAUAACUUUUAAUACUUGAAUUAUCAGUGUUCCAAAAGAUGAUGUUUUGUGAGUGUAUUAAUCAUUUGAAUGCUAUUUUUCUUUGAUUUGUCCUCAGUCUUAAAACAUCAAUUAAAACCUGAGAGGUAAAAGUAUCAAAAAUACUUAAUAAAAGGCCUUCAUGGUUCCUAUUUAAUUGGCUAAAGGGCACCUCAAACCCCACAAUGAGUGGGACUCAAUGCCGGAGUGGCUAAUCGGGACAAUCAGGAGAAUUCCCUGCCGGCCACACAGGGUGUCCGUUACUGCUUACUCAGCUUUUCUCAAACUGGAUGGUGUGCGCUACCGGGAGGGCACAUGUGAUUCGGGCUGGGUGUGGAAUGAAUAUGCCCCCUCCUCCUCAAUUUCACCGAUCUGGGUUGUGACAUUGCUGACCUGAAGAGUCUCACUUUGAUCCUGGCUGUACUUGACCUGACUGUUUGUCCAGCACCAAGAGAGAAAACUAAGAUACCCUAUCGCCUUAAACUGAAGACAGGAAGACAUUUUACACUCUUUGGGACAGAUUUUAAGCUGUAAUUACUUAAUGGUUUUUAAAAAUUGUUAUAUAUUAUGCACAUUGCAUAAUAUACAUACUGCAUAAUAUUUUUUCAUUUGUUAUAUAUUGUUAUAUAACCCUAACAUUGCUGUAUAUUGUGCGUAUUGCACAAUAUGCAUAUAAUUAUAUAUUUGAUUACUGUAUGUUGCCUUGAAUUGUGGUUCUUAUGUUGAACAGGACCGAUUAUACCAAGGAAUAUUCACUGUACAUGAUAGUACCAUCCAGAUUCUGAUUUGAACAAGCCAGCAAAGAGGAUUAAAAGAAACCAUGUGCUGGUGUGCAGUGAGGGGAGAAACUCUCUGAAUGCAGUGUAGAUCAGGUGCUCCCAAAGUCUAGCCAGUAAAGAAAGGUGGACGUGGAAUUCUAAAAUGAGAGAUUUCAAGUACUGGAAAAAUUGUGGAAAUACAGGUUAAAAUGGGUGCAGAUGACUAGAGGCAAUCCUUGUGGGAAAAUCAACUCAGUCUGCAGAAGACAGAAAUGGAGACCCAACUUUCCGCAGGACAGCGACCCAAAAUAUAGAGUCAAAGAAACCUUAGUAUGCCCUACAGCAGCACAAUCAAGACAUGGACCUGUCAUAGACUGAGACCUGGGGGUAUGACCCUACGACUGAUACUGUACCCCUCACUGAUCUCCUUCCAGGUGCAGAUUUCCAGAGAAAGGAUGGGUGAAUUCUGAACUGUUAGAGACUUAACCUCACUGUAAUUGUAGCUAGUAGCAUGUCUAUGGGAAUCAGUACAUUUAAUAAUUAAUUUAAUAACUGCAUUUAAAAGUUUGUUUGUUUGUUUGUUUGUUUGUUUGUUUGUUUGGAAUCAAACGUCCCUUAUCUUAAUUUUCCUUAUCACAAUGAUGAGUAUGUUUUGUAACCACUUGGGGAGAACAAAUUAAAAGCAUAACAGGAUUUUUUUUUUCUUCAGAUUUCAAUGCAACAUUAUUUUAAUUAAUGUUCCUAUUUAAUUAAUGUUUAAUUAAUUAUCCCUGUAGGCACUGUAGGAUAUCUGGAAAAAGAGGAGAGAAAAAUGUUACACUUGUUUGGUCAGUAAAGAGCAAAAAUGGAAAUGUUUGAAAAUAUUUCUCCAUGAAGGAGAUCAGUAUUACAGCAAAAUAGAGCAAAGCCAGAUACAUGUUUAUGGAAAACUUGGUCUCAUUGCAAAUUCAGUUUUGCAAAUUUAAUUACACUUUAUGUAAUUUGCAUCUAUUUACAUCUUCUGCGUCAUUUGACUGUGAAUGCCCUAGAAGUUGCAAAUUUACAUAGGACACUUGCAAGCAAAAUCAGUCCUUUAGGGAUAAUGUGAUUCUUGGUUAUGUAUGUGUUCAAAAACAAAACUAAAUUAUAUCUAAAUGUACAGCUAUAAAACAAAUCACUGGCUGAAAUCUGGAUAGCUAUUUCUGUGAUCUUAUUUCAUUUAGAUGCUCUCUAAUUGCCAUUAUUUCAUUACACUGUUCCUCCAGAUCUUCUGAGUCUCCCAGACCACAAUGCAGGCUUUUGAAGUGGGGGCACUUUUUGAGCUCAAGAUGUGUGCAAAGUCUGCUUUUUACAUGCUGGUUAAAAUAAUAGUCCCAGACCACCUUUGUGUUAAUGUCCAAUAAAAAUCAACCUAGAGCAGAAA
Molecule: long non-coding RNA, 6931 nt
Organism: Paramormyrops kingsleyae
Lineage: Eukaryota; Metazoa; Chordata; Actinopteri; Osteoglossiformes; Mormyridae
Source: RefSeq, a predicted model, not a curated record